Molecule: ribosomal RNA, 301 nt
Filed under: uncultured bacterium
Lineage: Bacteria
Description: partial 16S ribosomal RNA
Rfam family: Bacterial small subunit ribosomal RNA
Source: RNAcentral
CAGUCGCCGCGGUAAUACGGAGGGAGCUAGCGUUGUUCGGAAUUACUGGGCGUAAAGCGCACGUAGGCGGUUAUUCAAGUCAGAGGUGAAAGCCCGGGGCUCAACCCCGGAACUGCCUUUGAAACUAGAUGACUGGAAUCUUGGAGAGGUCAGUGGAAUUCCGAGUGUAGAGGUGAAAUUCGUAGAUAUUCGGAAGAACACCAGUGGCGAAGGCGACUGACUGGACAAGUAUUGACGCUGAGGAGCGAAAGCGUGGGGAGCGAACAGGAUUAGAUACCCGUGUAGUCCCUGUCUCUUAUAC